This 549-nucleotide ribosomal RNA is filed under the name Glomus sp. VeGlo8. RNAcentral describes it as "SSU rRNA". It matches the Rfam family "Eukaryotic small subunit ribosomal RNA", at positions 548 to 1098 of the family's 1831-position model. The record is from RNAcentral. Lineage: Eukaryota; Fungi; Glomeromycota; Glomeromycetes; Glomerales; Glomeraceae.
UUGGAGGGCAAGUCUGGUGCCAGCAGCCGCGGUAAUUCCAGCUCCAAUAGCGUAUAUUAAAGUUGUUGCAGUUAAAAAGCUCGUAGUUGAAUUUCGGGGUUAGUAGGUUGGUCAUGCCUCUGGUAUGUACUGGUCUCACUGAUUCCUCCUUCCUGAUGAACCGUAAUGCCAUUAAUUUGGUGUUGCGGGGAAUUUGGACUGUUACUUUGAAAAAAUUAGAGUGUUUAAAGCAAGCUAACGCUUGAAUACAUUAGCAUGGAAUAAUGAAAUAGGACGUUCGAUCCUAUUUUGUUGGUUUCUAGGAUCGACGUAAUGAUUAAUAGGGAUAGUUGGGGGCAUUAGUAUUCAAUUGUCAGAGGUGAAAUUCUUGGAUUUAUUGAAGACUAACUACUGCGAAAGCAUUUGCCAAGGAUGUUUUCAUUAAUCAAGAACGAAAGUUAGGGGAUCGAAGACGAUCAGAUACCGUCGUAGUCUUAACCAUAAACUAUGCCGACUAGGGAUCGGAUGAUGUUAAUUUUUUAAUGACUCAUUCGGCGCCUUACGGGAAAC